CCCUUAGACGCUCUGGGCCGCACGCGCGCUACACUGGUCGAUGCAACGAGUUUCUUUCCUUGGCCGACAGGCCUGGGCAAUCUUUGAACAUCGAUCGUGAUCGGGAUAGAUUCUUGUAAUUUUUGAUCUUAAACGAGGAAUUCCUAGUAAACGCAAGUCAUCAGCUUGCAUUGAUUACGUCCCUGCCCUUUGUACACACCGCCCGUCGCACCUACCGAUUGAAUGGUCCGGUGAAAUCUCCGGACUGGCGUGAGUCGGAGCAAUCUGACAAACGCCGGAAAGUUGAUUAAACCUUACCAUUUAGAGGAAGGUGAAGUCGUAACA
RNAcentral lists this ribosomal RNA (324 nucleotides) under uncultured eukaryote. RNAcentral's name for it is "partial 18S ribosomal RNA". It matches the Rfam family "Eukaryotic small subunit ribosomal RNA", at positions 1470 to 1796 of the family's 1831-position model. The record is from RNAcentral.